This is an RNA transcript of Zea mays, 1827 nucleotides long. It is a transcript of the gene named sorting nexin 2B-like, with no coding region annotated. The transcript is spliced from 5 exons. The record is from RefSeq and is a predicted model, not a curated record. Lineage: Eukaryota; Viridiplantae; Streptophyta; Magnoliopsida; Poales; Poaceae.
AUGAUGGCCACCGAGCCCUUGUCCCCGGGGAAUCUCGUCGAGGACGUCGAAACACUACCCCUGGACUCCUCCUCCACUCUCGCGGCUACGACGGACCCGCUGCUCCGCCCACCUCCCCCCUCGUCCACCUUCUCUCCCACCGCCGGUGAGAACCAUGGCGCGUUUCUGGACGAGGAGGAUGAGGACGUGGUGGAUGACUUCACGCCUCCGCUGGCUCCCCAUGCCGCUACGGCCGCGACGAAGUCCCGCGAGGCGUCACCGUGGUUCGCUGAGAUCACUGUCUCCGAGCCUAGGAAGCACGCGGAGCCCGCGACCGGAGCCGUGGGCGUCAUUCCCGGCUCGGCCAGCUACGUCUCCUACCUCAUCGCCACUCAGGUGCCCGACGGAGGCGAGUUCCGCGUGCGUCGGCGAUUCCGUGACGUCGUGGCGCUCGCCGACCGCCUCGCGGAGACCCACCGCGGCCUCUUUGUACCGGCGCGGCCCGACAAGAGCAUCGUCGAGGGCCAGGUCAUGCAGCGGCACGACUUCGUGAACCAGCGGUGCGUCACCCUCCAGCGCUACCUCCGCCGCCUCGCCGCGCACCCCGUCGUCGGCCGCAACCCCAUUCUCCACGCCUUCCUCACCGAGCCCAGCGGCAUCCCCACUUCCGACGGUGAGUCUCCCAGGUGGAGCCCUGCGAUGAGUGCUGCUACGUCCAUGGCUGCUUCCGCUCCAGUGACGCCUACCAAGAGUGGGAGAGACUUUUUUGGGGUGUUCAAGGGCCUGAAGCAGACAGUGACGAAUGGGUGGGUGGCGGUAAGGCCGCCUCUAGUGGAGGAGGAGAUUGACACAAACAGUACCUUGUGCACAAGGCCAAGCUUGAGGACUUGGAGAAACAUCUGGUGACAGCAUCUCAGCAGGCAGAGGCAUUUGUUAAAGCUUUUGACGAUCUAAGAUCAACGACAGGUCUCUUGGGAAUGUCAUUCAUCAAACUGGCUAUGUUUGAAAAGGAGCAGGCUGCGUGUAGUUCUCAGAAAAGACGAGCUGCUGACAUCAGUAAUUUUGCCAGUGCUGUUAUUAGAGUUAGCAGAUCACAGACAAAACUAAACACUGAAAUUGUAAAACAUCUGGGUAUUAUCCAUGAGUACAUGGAGACAAUGGCUUCUGUUCAUAAUGCUUUUACUGAUCGUUCCAAUGCUUUGCUUCGUGUGCAAAAUUUGUCAGCAGAUCUAUAUUUCUUGCAUACCCGGGCAGGAAAACUUGAAUCUGUAUCAGCGAGAGGAAUGGAUCAGGAGAGAUCAAGGUAUCAAAAGAUAGAAGAAUUGAAAGAAACAGUAAGAGCCACGGAAGAUGCAAAAACACGUGCACUUAAAGAAUUGGAACUUAUCAAGGAAAAUAACAUGAAUGAAAUUAAAAGAUUUAACAAGGAAAGGCGCCAGGAUUUGGUGGAGAUGCUAAAAGGCUUUGUAUUGGAUCAGGCCACAUACUCGGAUCAUUUUGCUACCAUAUGGACAAAGGUAGCAGAAGAAACAAAAGGAUAUGCAAACAGCAGCAGUUGAAGUAGGAUGUACAUAUUCAGGUGAAUUUGAGCUGUUACUGUGCAGCGUGAAUAGCUACACUCAUUGAGAAUCAUGCGACUGGCUUAUACACAAACAGGACCACACUCUUCAUUCCCGAAGGAUACAUUUCUAUGGAUUUUUCUGGGGAUUGGUAUCUCAAGUUGUGUACCUGAAUUUUUUCAGAAAAUAUAGCAAUACCAUUUUCCACGGCUUCGUUUCCGCAGCCUUGGCUUCAUACAGGGUUUACAUUUUCGUUUUGUACUUUCAAAAAACUUUUUUGUUGACCAAA